This 766-nucleotide long non-coding RNA is filed under the name Suricata suricatta (meerkat). Its description in RNAcentral is "lncRNA (ENSSSUG00005020671.1)". Lineage: Eukaryota; Metazoa; Chordata; Mammalia; Carnivora; Herpestidae. The record is from RNAcentral.
UAUAAAUAGGUCAGUUAAUCCUGCCCAAUUUUUUAUAAAUGUUCUUUUCAAACUACUAACAUGAUUAGCCAUGAUUGCAUUUUGGCCCAAGUGAAGGCCUAUUCUUACUUUUUGAUGGCUCACUCAUCUUUACAAGGUUAAAUAGCCUUCAUUGCUUGAAAGCUUCCCACAAGUUUUACUUUUCUUAAUCACAUUAUUCCAACUUCAAUAACUUCAUAUUUACAUUAUUAAUAGACUGUCAAAGUGUAUUGAUGUCUGCAUCAGUUUUGAAAAUCCCUUAAGAUUUUCUUUGCAUUGGAUCUAGAGAAAUCAACCCAUUUGGAGAAGAGUGUGAGCAAAAGUGACAGCCCUGCUCUCUUGGCCAUGGAAUUACCAAUGCAUGCACUUAGAUGCACAGGUUGGAAAUAAAAUAGGUUCUGAAGAACGGAACUUCCACUCCUUUCCCGGGAAGACAAUUCUCCGGUGUAGUCCCUCAAAUUAUUUAAGAAUUGCACAACUUGACUUACUUUUGCCGUCUUGUAUCUCGAUUAUCUCUCUCCGUGUGAGAUCCCUCACCAAGACAGCUUGCAAGCAUUUCACAAAUUGUAAUAAAAGAACCACCUACAUGUACGUCAAUACUGACAGAUCUGGAUCAUCUUAUUUUCACCUGAUAUAUGUUCAGGCUCAAUUGAAAACUAAUUUAUGGAAUGAAUAUUUACUGGAAGAGUGAGUUUGGCCUUAUCAUACACACACAUUUUGAGAACAAGUGAAUAAAGCUACUUUGGAG